AGAAACAUGGAUCUUCAAUGCAAAUUCUGUACAUCUGGGAAGGAAGAUACACACAGUAUAACCAUGUAAACCUCAUACUGGCUACCAGUUACAGAUGUCAUUUACCAAGUAGACAUAACCUAUUGUGAUACAGAAGAUACAGUAUAAUCUCUGAGUGCUACAUAGUAUACAUCCAUUCAGCAGGAAAGCCAAGAGAAGUAAUGAACCAUAGCUCCCUCCGAUUACAACCUUUAUCAGGCUAGGCUGCGCAGUGAAAUGUUGAGAGGAUUCUUGUGUCAAUUGAGGUGGGACAAUACAGCAGCAAAGAAACCAUAAAAGGCAACCACAAAAUCACUGACAUUCCAAAGUUAGCAUGGCCCCCCUUAUCAACCUGGGGUUAAAUCUUGAUAUCUAAACGAAAUUCUUGGUGCACCGGUAUAAUCUCGCAAACAACCAGGUUAGGAGACAAAAAUGAUGUCAUAUUUGCAGUCACCCAUAUAAUCAGGUGAGCAUAUGGUCCCUCUUCACAAGCAAAACGAAUUUAG
This 524-nucleotide long non-coding RNA is filed under the name Triticum aestivum (bread wheat). RNAcentral's name for it is "long non-coding RNA (TAES_LNC007245)". Lineage: Eukaryota; Viridiplantae; Streptophyta; Magnoliopsida; Poales; Poaceae. The record is from RNAcentral.